This 253-nucleotide ribosomal RNA is filed under the name uncultured bacterium. RNAcentral's name for it is "partial 16S ribosomal RNA". It matches the Rfam family "Bacterial small subunit ribosomal RNA", at positions 524 to 776 of the family's 1533-position model. The record is from RNAcentral.
UACGAAGGGGGCUAGCGUUGCUCGGAAUCACUGGGCGUAAAGCGCACGUAGGCGGCUUACUAAGUCAGGGGUGAAAUCCUGGAGCUCAACUCCAGAACUGCCUUUGAUACUGGUGAGCUUGAGGCUGGAAGAGGUUAGUGGAAUUCCCAGUGUAGAGGUGAAAUUCGUAGAUAUUGGGAAGAACACCAGUGGCGAGGGCGGCUAACUGGUCCAGAUCUGACGCUGAGGUGCGAAAGCGUGGGGAGCAAACAGG